Adelges cooleyi (spruce gall adelgid) is the source of this 321-nucleotide long non-coding RNA. RefSeq lists it as uncharacterized. The transcript has 4 exons. NCBI's taxonomy places the organism in Eukaryota, Metazoa, Arthropoda, Insecta, Hemiptera, Adelgidae. The record is from RefSeq and is a predicted model, not a curated record.
GGCACCUUUUAACAGUAGCAUUAUAAAAUCGAAUCUCUUUUUUAGCUACUGCGUCAUUGGCACACCAGGACAGGGCAACAGCUUUUGAUUCAAUAAUAACCCAAGAACGGACUAUACUAUACUUUAUUACAGGACAAGAGCCAACAACUGAUUUAAGUAACCUAGUUGACUAUGACAGGGCAGUAUACAACAGACAUCAGCUGAUACGUACUAUAUUCAACUAUGUUCUACAUCAAAGAAUGAAUAACAUCCGAAUGUGCGUGAAUGACGAAGACAAAAAAUGCAAAUUGCUCGGAAUAAUAACGCGUGCAUUAAAUCCUG